This 404-nucleotide ribosomal RNA is filed under the name uncultured Streptococcus sp. RNAcentral's name for it is "bacterial SSU rRNA". It matches the Rfam family "Bacterial small subunit ribosomal RNA", at positions 976 to 1382 of the family's 1533-position model. The record is from RNAcentral. Lineage: Bacteria; Bacillati; Bacillota; Bacilli; Lactobacillales; Streptococcaceae.
AGGUCUUGACAUCCCGAUGCUAUUUCUAGAGAUAGAAGUUACUUCGGUACAUCGGUGACAGGUGGUGCAUGGUUGUCGUCAGCUCGUGUCGUGAGAUGUUGGGUUAAGUCCCGCAACGAGCGCAACCCCUAUUGUUAGUUGCCAUCAUUCAGUUGGGCACUCUGGCGAGACUGCCGGUAAUAAACCGGAGGAAGGUGGGGAUGACGUCAAAUCAUCAUGCCCCUUAUGACCUGGGCUACACACGUGCUACAAUGGUUGGUACAACGAGUUGCGAGUCGGUGACGGCGAGCUAAUCUCUUAAAGCCAACCUCAGUUCGGAUUGUAGGCUGCAACUCGCCUACAUGAAGUCGGAAUCGCUAGUAAUCGCGGAUCAGCACGCCGCGGUGAAUACGUUCCCGGGCCUU